Molecule: ribosomal RNA, 512 nt
Filed under: uncultured bacterium
Lineage: Bacteria
Description: partial 16S ribosomal RNA
Rfam family: Bacterial small subunit ribosomal RNA
Source: RNAcentral
GAUGAACGCUGGCGGCGUGCCUAAUACAUGCAAGUCGAACGAAACUUCUUUAUCACCGAGUGCUUGCACUCACCGAUAAAGAGUUGAGUGGCGAACGGGUGAGUAACACGUGGGCAACCUGCCCAAAAGAGGGGGAUAACACUUGGAAACAGGUGCUAAUACCGCAUAACCAUAGUUACCGCAUGGUAACUAUGUAAAAGGUGGCUAUACUACCGCUUUUGGAUGGGCCCGCGGCGCAUUAGCUAGUUGGUAGGGUAAAGGCUUACCAAGGCAAUGAUGCGUAGCCGAAUUGAGAGGUUGAUCGGCCACAUUGGGACUGGGACACGGCCCAAACUCCUACGGGAGGCAGCAGUAGGGAAUCUUCCACAAUGGGCGAAAGCCUGAUGGAGCAACGCCGCGUGGGUGAAGAAGGUCUUCGGAUCGUAAAACCCUGUUGUUAGGGAAGAAAGUGCGUGAGAGUAACUGUUCACGUUUCGACGGUAUCUAACCAGAAAGCCACGGCUAACUACGUG